CUGGUUAGAGCACAACAUCAUCCUGUUUUUUGUCAAGCAGAUUAGUAGCACAAUCAUGUUGUGAUGAGAUGUUCUGUUGAUUAUUCACAUUCUAACAACAUCACAUCACGGCACGGCAGGAGUACGAUUUCCAGGGUUGACACAUCCAGGAAUCAUUGGCACUGCACCAUCAAAAGAACUCUUGAGAAUAUGGAAUGAAAGGGAAAGACAAUUAGAAGAAAAAGGUGUUGAGUCCCUAACACUAUGUGAGGUUGUGCAUCAGCGGCCAUUAGCAAGCCUACCAACAACUAAAGGAUGUCUACUAGGAAAUGUACACUAUUUUCUGAUACUGUAACAAAGUUUUUGAACUGUAUAAAUGUACUUACUGCAUACCCUCUUAUAGAUUGAAGAGAGGACAUCAGAAUGGGAAAGAAUUGCAAAGGAGGCUGCUAGGACAAUACCAGGAAGGGAAAAUGGAGGAAACUGUGACAUAAAAAACCUAAGCAGUGGCUCUAAAAUAUAUCUUCCAGUGUUUGUAGAAGGAGCUAAUCUAAGCACCGGUGACAUGCAUUUCUCACAGGGUGAUGGCGAGAUCUCAUUCUGUGGAGCCAUAGAGAUGAGUGGAUUUCUAGAACUCAAGUAUGUACAUAAGUUCCUAAUUGCACUGUAAAUAGACUCUAUACGGUUUUCUUAGAUGUCCCUGUUUUUGUCUAGUGUUACUAUGAAAUUCUGACCAGAUACCAUUAUGUAACUCAUUAAUAGGUGUGAAAUCAUUAGAAACGGGAUGCAGGAGUACCUUACACCAAUGGGACCAACCACUCUCCACGUAAACCCGAUCUUUGAGAUAGGGCCAGUGGAACCAAGAUUCUCAGAGUGGCUUGUCUUCGAGGGUAUCAGUGUCGAUGAGAGCGGAAGACAACAUUAC
This 904-nucleotide long non-coding RNA is filed under the name Arabidopsis thaliana (thale cress). RNAcentral describes it as "long non-coding RNA (ATHA_LNC000328)". Lineage: Eukaryota; Viridiplantae; Streptophyta; Magnoliopsida; Brassicales; Brassicaceae. The record is from RNAcentral.